UGGGGAAUAUUGGACAAUGGGCGAAAGCCUGAUCCAGCCAUGCCGCGUGUGUGAAGAAGGUCUUCGGAUUGUAAAGCACUUUAAGUUGGGAGGAAGGGCAGUAAGCGAAUACCUUGCUGUUUUGACGUUACCGACAGAAUAAGCACCGGCUAACUCUGUGCCAGCAGCCGCGGUAAUACAGAGGGUGCAAGCGUUAAUCGGAAUUACUGGGCGUAGAGCGCGCGUAGGUGGUUCGUUAAGUUGAAUGUGAAAGCCCCGGGCUCAACCUGGGAACUGCAUCCAAAACUGGCGAGCUAGAGUAGGGCAGAGGGUGGUGGAAUUUCCUGUGUAGCGGUGAAAUGCGUAGAUAUAGGAAGGAACACCAGUGGCGAAGGCGACCACCUGGGAUCAUACUGACACUGAGGUGCGAAAGCGUGGGGAGCAAACAGG
RNAcentral lists this ribosomal RNA (429 nucleotides) under Pseudomonadota bacterium. RNAcentral describes it as "Proteobacteria bacterium partial 16S ribosomal RNA". It matches the Rfam family "Bacterial small subunit ribosomal RNA", at positions 355 to 776 of the family's 1533-position model. Lineage: Bacteria; Pseudomonadati; Pseudomonadota. The record is from RNAcentral.